RNAcentral lists this ribosomal RNA (252 nucleotides) under uncultured bacterium. Its description in RNAcentral is "partial 16S ribosomal RNA". It matches the Rfam family "Bacterial small subunit ribosomal RNA", at positions 524 to 776 of the family's 1533-position model. The record is from RNAcentral.
UACGUGGGGGGCAAGCGUUAUCCGGAAUUAUUGGGCGUAAAGAGUACGUAGGUGGCAACCUAAGCGCAGGGUUUAAGGCAAUGGCUCAACCAUUGUUCGCCCUGCGAACUGGGAUGCUUGAGUACAGGAGAGGAAAGCGGAACUCCUAGUGUAGCGGUGAAAUGCGUAGAUAUUAGGAAGAACACCAGUGGCGAAGGCGGCUUUCUGGACUGAAACUGACGCUGAGGCACGAAAGCGUGGGGAGCGAACAGG